GGCCCGUUGGUCAAGCGGUUAAGACGCUAGCCUCUCACGCUGGAAACAUGGGUUCGAUUCCCGUACGGGUCACCA
This 75-nucleotide transfer RNA is filed under the name Clostridia bacterium. Its description in RNAcentral is "tRNA-Glu". It matches the Rfam family "tRNA". From Rfam's summary of the family: Transfer RNA (tRNA) molecules are approximately 80 nucleotides in length. Their secondary structure includes four short double-helical elements and three loops (D, anti-codon, and T loops). Lineage: Bacteria; Bacillati; Bacillota; Clostridia. The record is from RNAcentral. RNAcentral also lists the same sequence under 2 other names.